RNAcentral lists this transfer RNA (71 nucleotides) under Bacteriophage sp. RNAcentral describes it as "tRNA-Trp". It matches the Rfam family "tRNA". Rfam says of the family: Transfer RNA (tRNA) molecules are approximately 80 nucleotides in length. Their secondary structure includes four short double-helical elements and three loops (D, anti-codon, and T loops). Further hydrogen bonds mediate the characteristic L-shaped molecular structure. tRNAs have two regions of fundamental functional importance: the anti-codon, which is responsible for specific mRNA codon recognition, and the 3' end, to which the tRNAs corresponding amino acid is attached (by aminoacyl-tRNA synthetases). tRNAs cope with the degeneracy of the genetic code in two manners: having more than one tRNA (with a specific anti-codon) for a particular amino acid; and 'wobble' base-pairing, i.e. permitting non-standard base-pairing at the 3rd anti-codon position. The record is from RNAcentral.
GGUGUGGUAUAAUGGUAUUACUCUAGUCUCCAAAACUAGCAAUGGGGGUUCGAUUCCCUCCACCUCUGCCA